Long non-coding RNA from Schistocerca gregaria, 857 nucleotides. RefSeq lists it as uncharacterized. The transcript has 3 exons. NCBI's taxonomy places the organism in Eukaryota, Metazoa, Arthropoda, Insecta, Orthoptera, Acrididae. The record is from RefSeq and is a predicted model, not a curated record.
GCAACAGAUCAUGAAUGACGUUGGAUGUAACACAUAUGUGGAAAUGAAGAGGAAAGCAGACAGAAGAGAGGAAUGGCGCUCUGCUGCAAACCAAUCUCAGGGUUGAACACUAAAGAAGAAGAUUUGGGAAACAGUUUUUGGAAGAGGAUAUAACAUUCUCGCAAAUAGACGAUAUACAUGCAACAGAUCAUGAAUGACGUUGGAUGUAACACAUAUGUGGAAAUGAAGAGGAAAGCAGACAGAAGAGAGGAAUGGCGCUCUGCUGCAAACCAAUCUCAGGGUUGAACACUAAAGAAGAAGAUUUGGGAAACAGUUUUUGGAAGAGGAUAUAACAUUCUCGCAAAUAGACGAUAUAAACGCCUGAGAUUUUCCGAUAUCAGUGAUUUCUGUGAAUGCUACUUUCCAGUAUCUGCUAUUCUUAACUGUGAUUUGUCGCACUUAAGAGUCGCAGUUUAGGAACGUAGGUCGCGUAUCCCUCCGCCACUGAUAUUUCUGUGACUCCCGCGACUUACCACCGUAUGAAAAAGUUACAUCUGCCCACACAGAAAAUUGCAUCUCAACAAACCUGACAUUGGUACCCGAACUACAUUUCAGUCACUCAGUAAAUUGAUAACUCAACAGAUCUGGAGAAAUUACCACUUCGUCUUUAGACUGUUUUCGUCAGCCAGGAGACACAGUUCUGACUCUUGAUUACUGGUUGCUGUACGUAUCUAUCCACAUCAAGGCUGUUGAGAGAGACUCGUGAAGAUUCAAGACAGCUCUUAGAGGAUUUGCAGUUUAAAAGUGACAUAAUUGUGAAAAAAGUGUGCAGAUGAGUGAUUAAACUGUGUUUUAUUGAAGUUGUUAUGCGAUUUUAA